Molecule: ribosomal RNA, 423 nt
Filed under: uncultured bacterium
Lineage: Bacteria
Description: bacterial SSU rRNA
Rfam family: Bacterial small subunit ribosomal RNA
Source: RNAcentral
GAACGAGAAAGUGGAGCAAUCCAUGAGUAAAGUGGCGACCGGGUGAGUAACACGUGACUAACCUACCCUCGAGUGUGGAAUAACCUAGGGAAACCUGGGCUAAUACCGCAUAAUGUCUUCGGACCAAAGGAGCAAGUCGCCGGAAGAGGGAUCCGCGGCCGAUUAGCUUGUUGGCGGGGUAAAGGCCCACCAAGGCAAUGAUCGGUAGCCGGUCUGAGAGGAUGGCCGGCCACACUGGAACUGAGACACGGUCCAGACUCCUACGGGAGGCAGCAGUGGGGAAUCUUGCGCAAUGGGCGAAAGCCUGACGCAGCGACGCCGCGUGGGGGAUGAAGCUUCUCGGAGUGUAAACCCCUUUCGACCCGGACGAAAGCCCGCAAGGGCCUGACGGUACGGGUAUAAGAAGCCCCGGCUAACUACGUG